GUGCGCGGUGCACAGGUGCAUGGCUCUUAGUGCAAAGGAGUACAGCGCACAGGUGCAGAGGCACAGAGGUGCACACUGCACAAUGCAAAAUGCAGAGCUGCACGGCGCAGAAGUGCAGGGUGCAGAGGUGCACAGUGCACAGCGCAGAGGUGCAGGGCGCAGACUUCAAAGGUGCACAGCGCACAGCUGCAGGCAGAGUUGCACAGGUACAGUGCAGAGUUGCACAUGUGCACCGUGAACGGUGCGUAGUGCACAUUACACAGUGCACAGGUGCGCGGUUCAUGGUGCACAGUGCACAGGUGCAUGGUGCUUGGAGCACAGUGCGUGGUGCACAGGUGUGCAGUCCAGAGUGCAAAGGAGGAGAGUGCAGAGGUACGGAGCUGCAGAGGUGUGCAGUACAUUGGAGCAGUGGUGCACAGUACAUGGUGCAGAGCUUCAGGUUGCAUAGUGCACACUGCAGAGUUGCACGGUGCAGGGUGCAGAGGUGCACAGUGCAGUGGUGUGGGGCACACGGUGCAUAGUGCACGGUGCACAGUGCGGGGUGCAGAGGCACAGGGAGCAGAGGCGGGGUACACAGUGCAUGGUACACGGUGCACAGUGCACAGCACAAAGCUAAACAGUGCAGAUGUGCAUGGUGCACAGGUGUGGGGUGCAGCGGUGCAGGGUGUGUAGGUACUGGGUGUGCAGCACGAGGUGUCAGGGGGCAGAGGUGCACAGCUCAGUGGUGCUGGCUGUGUGCUCCAUGGCGCAGGGUACAGGGGCGCAGAGGACGCAGCGCAGGGGUGCGGAUGUGCACGGGGACGUGGUGCACUGCACACAGCACGGAGCUGCAGGACACACAGCCGUGGCUGUCCCCAGCUCUGCCCCGGCCCUCGGGCUGACAGGACAGUGCACGCACACCCAUCAGGCUGCCCAGUCCUCCUGUCCCCUCGUCCCAGCCAUCUCCUCCACCCGUAGCUGGGGUCCCCUCGGAAACCUUCGCAAUUCCCUGGGUGCUACGAGGGCAUUCGAUGCUUUCCCUAAGGCCCGGGGGUCACUGCUCUCCCCCCUUCCCCAAGACAGGUUCUGCUCGCUCGGUGCCGCAGUGUUUGUGCCAAAAACAUCGGCAGGAAGGUUUAUUUGUAUAACGUAAUCGCUUCCUUCUAAUUGCUUCUUGGUUUCAUGACGCCAGCCCUCCUGAUGUGCAGGAAGUGCUGCCUCCAGUUGGCAGUGCUGAGGAACACGGAAAUCCUUCACGUUUCCAGUUUUGCAUGUAUAGGGCCACCUGUAAGCUCUCAGACCCGGCCUUGCCCCAGCUGCAGCUCCGCAGAGCACCGCUGCUCUCUGACUGCGCCCCACGCAGUACGGGGCAGCCUGGAUGCUGUUGGGGCACCUGGAUGUGGCUGCUGCCAUCACGUUAUCACGGUCUGGAUUAAAAUGCGCUGAAGCCACGGGGCAUGCUGUGCUUUGGGGUUUGGAAGCACGGGAUGGGGAACGGCUGGGACGGAGUCAGAGGGCAGAGGAAGGGUGGGGACAGCCCUGGCGUCCCCCAGGCCGUGGGGACCCCAAGCCUUGGGACUGGGCAAUGGCAACAAGAGGGCAGUGACACUGGGUCAGGAGCUUGUCCCUGCCCUUUGCUUCCUCCCCUUGUUCCAGGAGGCAGAGCUAUGGACAAGAAGAAGCUGUCGUUAAAUUCUACUCC
This is a long non-coding RNA of Cygnus olor (mute swan), 1681 nucleotides long. RefSeq lists it as uncharacterized. The transcript has 2 exons. The record is from RefSeq and is a predicted model, not a curated record. NCBI's taxonomy places the organism in Eukaryota, Metazoa, Chordata, Aves, Anseriformes, Anatidae.